This 465-nucleotide ribosomal RNA is filed under the name Triticum aestivum (bread wheat). RNAcentral's name for it is "partial small subunit ribosomal RNA". Lineage: Eukaryota; Viridiplantae; Streptophyta; Magnoliopsida; Poales; Poaceae. The record is from RNAcentral.
AUGGCGAUGAGUGGCUGCGGACGAAACUUUAAAUUGCAUUGUCUUGGUUUGGCUUCCCACGAUCACAGUAUCACCCGGCUGCGGUCCCGUGUUAUUCAUCUUCAUGAUGGCGAUGCUAAUACCUCUUUCUUCCACCAACAUUCCAGAUAUUGUAAGAAGAAGAAUUUUGUACCCAAGUUGAAGGUUGGUGAUCAGGUCGUUACAAACCGAGGGGAUAAACAUGAGGCUGUGCUGAAUUACUAUGAAAACCUCAUUGGUUCGUCUCAGGUUCGGGAUUUUUCCUUGGACCUCUCAGGUUUUCACUUCCAGCAGCAUGAUUUGGUUUCUUUGGAGGAGCCUUUUUCGGAGGAUGAAGUGUGGGCAACCAUCAAAGACUUGCCGUUUGAUAAAGCACCUGGACCUGACGGGCUUGCUGGUUGUUUUAUAAGUCAUGUUGGGAAAUUAUCAGAGUGGACCUGCUGCUAG